GUACGACAAGUAGGGCGGGACACGUGAAAUCCUGUCUGAAGAUGGGGGGACCAUCCUCCAAGGCUAAAUACUCGUGAUCGACCGAUAGUGAACCAGUACCGUGAGGGAAAGGCGAAAAGAACCCCGGGAGGGGAGUGAAAUAGAUCCUGAAACCGCAUGCAUACAAACAGUCGGAGCCUCGUAAGGGGUGACGGCGUACCUUUUGUAUAAUGGGUCAGCGACUUACGUUCAGUAGCAAGCUUAACCGUAUAGGGCAGGCGUAGCGAAAGCGAGUCCGAAUAGGGCGUUCAGUUGCUGGGCGUAGACCCGAAACCAGGUGAUCUAUCCAUGGCCAGGAUGAAGGUGCGGUAACACGUACUGGAGGUCCGAACCCACUAACGUUGAAAAGUUAGGGGAUGAGCUGUGGAUAGGGGUGAAAGGCUAAACAAACCUGGAAAUAGCUGGUUCUCUCCGAAAACUAUUUAGGUAGUGCCUCGUGUCUCACCUUCGGGGGUAGAGCACUGUCAUGGUUGGGGGGUCUAUUGCAGAUUACCCCGCCAUAGCAAACUCCGAAUACCGAAGAGUGCAAUCACGGGAGACAGACAUCGGGUGCUAACGUCCGGUGUCAAGAGGGAAACAACCCAGACCGCCAGCUAAGGUCCCCAAAUAUAGCUAAGUGGGAAACGAAGUGGGAAGGCUAAAACAGUCAGGAGGUUGGCUUAGAAGCAGCCACCCUUUAAAGAAAGCGUAAUAGCUCACUGAUCGAGUCGUCCUGCGCGGAAGAUGUAACGGGGCUAAGCUAUAUACCGAAGCUGCGGAUGCGAGCUAGUCUCGCAUGGUAGGAGAGCGUUCCGUAAGCCUGCGAAGGUGCCUUGUAAAGGGUGCUGGAGGUAUCGGAAGUGCGAAUGCUGACAUGAGUAGCGAUAAAGGGGGUGAAAGGCCCCCUCGCCGUAAGCCCAAGGUUUCCUACGCAACGUUCAUCGGCGUAGGGUGAGUCGGCCCCUAAGGCGAGGCAGAAAUGCGUAGCUGAUGGGAAGCAGGUCAAUA
This 1026-nucleotide ribosomal RNA is filed under the name Burkholderia ubonensis. Its description in RNAcentral is "bacterial LSU rRNA". It matches the Rfam family "Bacterial large subunit ribosomal RNA", at positions 403 to 1435 of the family's 2925-position model. The record is from RNAcentral. Lineage: Bacteria; Pseudomonadati; Pseudomonadota; Betaproteobacteria; Burkholderiales; Burkholderiaceae.